This 611-nucleotide long non-coding RNA is filed under the name Salmo salar (Atlantic salmon). RNAcentral's name for it is "lncRNA (ENSSSAG00000086812.1, ENSSSAG00000100632.1)". Lineage: Eukaryota; Metazoa; Chordata; Actinopteri; Salmoniformes; Salmonidae. The record is from RNAcentral.
UGUGCUUGUGUGUGAGGGAGUUUAUGCCCCUCUCUCUCUUCUCUUCCUCGCUCUCUCUCUUUCUCUCCCUCCUCUCCGCAUUGCAGCAAACGAUGCCAGCUCAGGACGAGGCUCCAGCGGCUGGCAUGUCCUCAGGCUCUGGCACACUCCCGCUGUCACCUCCCAUGGGACCUGUGUAUGUGACUCAGGGCUCCAGCAGGAGGGCUUAUGGAUAUCUGAUAUGCCAUUUGACUGGAGGCAUGCUGCAGUAUGCGGCACAGGGAGAAGAAAACAUGCAGAAACGUACUCAUGUGGCAAGGUCUAGUAAAGAUUGGAAGGAAAACCUGCAUUUCUGUCAUUCCUCUGUAUCCACAGCUGCUCCCUGCAAGUUUCAAGUUUUAAUGGCACAUGCACAUUACAGUGUAAUGCCCUUCUUGCAAGCUCCAAACCCAACAAUGCAGUGAUCAAUAUCAAUGUAGCACUAAAAAUAACACAAGGUAGAACAAAAACACAAUAAAUAAAAAUAAGAAGAACAUGUGAAAGAAGCUACAGUGCCUUCAGAAAGUAUUCACACCCCUUGACUUUUUCCACAUUUUGUUGUGUUACAGCCUGAACCCCAUAAUGUCAAAGUG